CCUACGGGGGACUGCAGUGGGGAAUAUUGGACAAUGGGGGGAACCCUGAUCCAGCGACGCCGCGUGAGUGAAGAAGUAUUUCGGUAUGUAAAGCUCUAUCAGCAGGGAAGAAAAUGACGGUACCUGACCAAGAAGCCCCGGCUAACUACGUGCCAGCAGCCGCGGUAAUACGGAGGAGGCGAGCGUUAUCCGGAUUUAUUGGGUUUAAAGGGUGCGCAGGCGGAAUGUCAAGUCAGCGGUAAAAUUUCGGGGCUCAACCCCGUCGUGCCGUUGAAACUGGCGGUCUUGAGUAAGCGAGAAGUAUGCGGAAUGCGAGGUGUAGCGGUGAAAUGCGUAGAUAUCACGCAGAACGCCGAUUGCGAAGGUAGCAUACCGGCGCUCAACUGACGCUCAUGCACGAAAGCGUGGGUAGCGAACAGGAUUAGAUACCCUAGUAGUC
Molecule: ribosomal RNA, 439 nt
Filed under: uncultured bacterium
Lineage: Bacteria
Description: partial 16S ribosomal RNA
Rfam family: Bacterial small subunit ribosomal RNA
Source: RNAcentral